GCGCCUGUAGCUCAAUGGACAGAGCGGCUGACUUCGAAUCAGUAGGCUGGGGGUUCGAGUCCCUCCAGGCGCGCCU
This 76-nucleotide transfer RNA is filed under the name Anaerolineae bacterium. RNAcentral describes it as "tRNA-Arg". It matches the Rfam family "tRNA". From Rfam's summary of the family: Transfer RNA (tRNA) molecules are approximately 80 nucleotides in length. Their secondary structure includes four short double-helical elements and three loops (D, anti-codon, and T loops). Further hydrogen bonds mediate the characteristic L-shaped molecular structure. tRNAs have two regions of fundamental functional importance: the anti-codon, which is responsible for specific mRNA codon recognition, and the 3' end, to which the tRNAs corresponding amino acid is attached (by aminoacyl-tRNA synthetases). tRNAs cope with the degeneracy of the genetic code in two manners: having more than one tRNA (with a specific anti-codon) for a particular amino acid; and 'wobble' base-pairing, i.e. permitting non-standard base-pairing at the 3rd anti-codon position. Lineage: Bacteria; Bacillati; Chloroflexota; Anaerolineae. The record is from RNAcentral.